AGGAUGGGAAGAAAGCAGUAACCAGCAAGCGCCUACUGGGGACCAGGCAUGUGAUUUGCAUGAGGCAGAAGUCUCUUAGCAUCCCCAGGAAAUAACUCAUCCUUGUUUAGCAGAUGGGCCACCCAAGGCUCAGAGAGAUCAUUGAAGCAAGUAAGAGUGUCGUCAGGGAGUGAACAUCAGACAUCUCCUUCCCAAGCCUGUGUUCCUUCUACCAGCUAAGUGAAGGGCCUGCCAUGUGCAUGUUGCCAG
This 249-nucleotide long non-coding RNA is filed under the name Homo sapiens (human). RNAcentral describes it as "HSALNT0079547". The record is from RNAcentral. Lineage: Eukaryota; Metazoa; Chordata; Mammalia; Primates; Hominidae.